This 253-nucleotide non-coding RNA is filed under the name uncultured bacterium. RNAcentral describes it as "partial 16S ribosomal RNA". It matches the Rfam family "Bacterial small subunit ribosomal RNA", at positions 524 to 776 of the family's 1533-position model. The record is from RNAcentral. RNAcentral also lists the same sequence under 2 other names.
UACGAAGGGGGCUAGCGUUGUUCGGAAUUACUGGGCGUAAAGCGAACGUAGGCGGUGUUCCAUGUCAGAGGUGAAAGCCUGGGGCUCAACUCCAGAAUUGCCUUUGAAACGGGGACGCUUGAGUCCGAGAGAGGGUGGCGGAAUUCCUAGUGUAGAGGUGAAAUUCGUAGAUAUUAGGAAGAACACCAGUGGCGAAGGCGGCCACCUGGCUCGGUACUGACGCUCAGGUUCGAAAGCGUGGGGAGCAAACAGG